GACGAACGCUGGCGGCGUGCUUAACACAUGCAAGUCGAACGGAAAGGCCCCUUUGGGGGUACUCGAGUGGCGCACGGGGGAGUAACACGUGAGUAACCUGCCCUUGACUUCGGGAUAACUUCAGGAAACUGGGGCUAAUACCGGAUAGGAAUCCUUGCUGCAUGGUGGGGGUUGGAAAGCUUCGGCGGUUUUGGAUGGACUCGCGGCUUAUCAGCUUGUUGGUGGGGGAGUGGCUUACCAAGGCGUUGACGGGUAGCCGGCCUGAGAGGGCGACCGGCCACAUUGGGACUGAGAUACGGCACAGACUCCGAAGGGAGGAAGAAGGGGGGAAUAUUGCACAAGGGGCGGAAGCCUGAUGCAGCAACGCCGCGUGCGGGAUGACGGCCUUCGGGUUGUAAACCGCUUUCAGCAGGGGCGAAGCUUGUGGUGACGGUACCUGCAGAAGAAGCACCGGCUAACUACGUG
RNAcentral lists this ribosomal RNA (465 nucleotides) under uncultured bacterium. RNAcentral describes it as "partial 16S ribosomal RNA". It matches the Rfam family "Bacterial small subunit ribosomal RNA", at positions 28 to 507 of the family's 1533-position model. The record is from RNAcentral.